This 468-nucleotide ribosomal RNA is filed under the name uncultured bacterium. RNAcentral's name for it is "partial 16S ribosomal RNA". It matches the Rfam family "Bacterial small subunit ribosomal RNA", at positions 28 to 507 of the family's 1533-position model. The record is from RNAcentral.
GACGAACGCUGGCGGCGUGCUUAACACAUGCAAGUCGAACGGAAAGGCCCUGCUUUUGUGGGGUGCUCGAGUGGCGAACGGGUGAGUAACACGUGAGUAACCUGCCCUUGACUUUGGGAUAACUUCAGGAAACUGGGGCUAAUACCGGAUAGGAGCUCCUGCUGCAUGGGGGGGGUUGGAAAGUUUCGGCGGUUGGGGAUGGACUCGCGGCUUGUCAGCUUGUUGGUGGGGGAGUGGCUUACCAAGGCUUUGACGGGUAGCCGGCCUGAGAGGGUGACCGGCCACAUUGGGACUGCGCUACGGCCCAGACUCCUACGGGGGGCAGCAGUGGGAAAUAUUGCGCAAUGGGCGGAAGCCUGAUGCAGCAACGCCGCGUGCGGGAUGACGGCCUUCGGGUUGUAAACCGCUUUCGCCUGUGACGAAGCGUGAGUGACGGUAAUGGGUAAAGAAACACCGGCUAACUACGUG